Motacilla alba alba is the source of this 3390-nucleotide RNA transcript. It is a transcript of the gene named spermatogenesis associated 48, with no coding region annotated. The transcript is spliced from 3 exons. The record is from RefSeq and is a predicted model, not a curated record. Lineage: Eukaryota; Metazoa; Chordata; Aves; Passeriformes; Motacillidae.
GCGACAAUGGGUUAGCAGCUCAUCAGAGAAAGCGUACAAGAGCUAGACGGCAUGAUCCAAAAAAACAGAAACACAAAGGGCACUCCAAAUGUUCCUGGAUACACUGGCAAGGUUCAUUGGUCAGCAACUCACCCAGCAAAUUCUAAUCUUCCAUCAACAGCCCCAACAGUAAUUGCCGGAAUGCAUGGAGGCCCAUGAAUGUAAAAGUUAUCAAUUCCCAAAAGAAAACUGAAUGGAGUUUCUCAAUUGAUCUUGGCAGACUUAAGAAACAGGUAUUUGUUAUGAAAAAAUGGUUGUUGAAAAUGGGUGGGUUCACUUAAAAGGAAGUGAGAAGCAAAGUCAUACCAUGCCACCACACUGAUGUAGCCUGGGACCCUGUGAUUGUGAAAUCAUCACAGCUCCCCAUCACUAUCAUGGCUGCCCCAUUAAGUGAAUAAAUAAUCUUUAUUCUCUCAAUGCUCUUCCAUAAAAGGCUGGUUAAACCUGUGGGCCAAUAUACGUAUUUAGAUGUCUAACUUGUUGAUUUCAAAAGAUCUGCACACUUCAGAAGAUCUGGACACUGAAAAAUCCUUUUUCUUUUGUUAGCAUGAAAAGCUUCAGAUGCUGGCAGAGAACUAACUUAGCCUUUCUUCCUAAUAGCUUAGUAACUUUGUUUCUCCUCUCUCCUUUAUGAUUUUGUGCUUUAGAUUCUGCUUUCUUGUUAUCUGUAGUGAUCUAGGAUAUGGUGACACUUUUCCAAGUUUCCAUGUUUUCCUGAGAAAUUUAUCUUCUAAUUAAACUUUUAAUUUGUCUUAGGAUUCUGUUCACAGCACGCACUUUUUUCAGCACUGUCAGUGAAAAGUAUCCAGAAAAGGCUCGAGGAGAUUUAUGGAGCUGCGUGGCUUUUAAAGAGUUCACCUCGUCAAGAGUUUCACCAUUUUGAUGAAUAACCUAACUUAUUGUUAUGCUGCCCUCCAUGCAGUCACCUCUGCUCUUUUUCUCUAGUGGUUAUACCUGGAAAAUAGGCAGUCACCUGUAGGUUUGGGCUGCUGUUGACAGGGAAUGGAAUGAUGCAACAAAGUCCUGAGUCUCCAUAACAUGAUAAAGCUGAACUCAAAGCAGUCUUAUGCUUGUAAAUGUCACAAACAAAUAAAAAAGGCAAAUGAAUCUUAGCAAAGAACAUUGAGAGACUUCAUUUAGGUACCAGAAUUCAAGAGCAAAAAUGAUAGGCACCACUGUGAUCUGAAGAAAACACAUCAGUUACUUCCUUUUACUUUACACAGACGUUACUGUGGGUGUAGUUCACAUUGGAGGAAUUUUCUUGAUUUUUAAUGUAUGGCAAGAACAGGGUUCUCAUUCUGUGCUAGUGGAUACUUUCCAGAAUCAGGACAGAAUCUCCUGACCUUUUUGAAGUAGGUUGUGUAGGAAUAAACUAGAGAGCAUAAUCACAUCCAGAGAUUGCAGAGCAGGUUUUGCCAACCUUAGCCUGAGCAAAUGUACCUAUAUGGUACAUUUCCCUGAGGAGAUAUUAUCCCUGAUAGCAAAAUUGUAAUAGCUGUAUGGUCCUACUUGUGGAGUAGGAGCAUAGUCCGUAGUGUUUACUGAGCAAAGAUGGAACAUUCUGGUCCUUCAUGAAACUGCUAUAUAGAACUAUGAUGGAUGCUGAGAAUCUCCCCUCAAUAUUAGUUACUGAUGCCCAUAAAAGAGAGAUGCUUAACAUUAGUUUCCUUCCCUUUAUAAAAUAAAUUAUAAUAAUACCUGCUGAUUUCAGGAGUCACAGGUCAAGCUAGUCUAUAGUGGAGAGGUGAAGAGAAGAGAGAUUAUUCCCAUAAUUUGGGGUCAGACAAUUUGCUUCCAUGAACUUUUGAUCUUGGAUGUGAUCUCAUCCUUUUAAAAUGGUGGCCUUUCUCACCCUUUUUAAAAUGGUGGCACCUUUCUUUGUCUCUUUGCUCAUUCUCAAGCAUGAUUGUAAUAAUUUCUCAGAAAGUAUCAAGUGAUUGCAUGUGGUGGAUGUUUUAAAACUGCUGUCUACAACCUAUGGUCAGUGUCCUGAAGACAACUAUAGGUAUCAAAUGGAGUCUCUUGUGUACUGCUAACCUGCUUUAGUAAGUAUUCCUGUCAAAAGUAUCAGCACUAUCAGACAGACCAGGCAGCAUGCAACCAUUUCUGCAUGGAGUUUCUAUUGCACGGUGCUCCCACAGGAUGUGCUGCAAAAUCCUGCAUACCAGUGUCAAGCGUUCUGAAGUCAACAGGAUUGUAUAGGAUGUGAAACAGUAGAAAUAUGGUUUUCUCAUCUUUGAAUAUGAAUAGUGUUUUUAUAUGUCAAGCUUUAUUGAUGUAUUUUUAAUCUAUUUUUAUUUCCAGGCAAUCCCAAGGCGAAGACAGAAAAUUAUGUUUUAAAGUCCCCUUAGUGCAAUUAAAUUCUGGCAGAUUUGUUUAACUUUUGCAUAGGAAGGAAUGCUUUAUGUGUUGUUUUUUCUUGUGUCCAUUGCUACCUGGAAAAUACAAAUCCAAUUGCAUCUCAGGUUGCACGGAAAACCAUUGGUUUCACCAUAAUUAAUGUAAGAUAGUGUUGGAUUUUGUUUGAUUAUUGAGAGGAUUGAGAAGCAGCUUUAAGCAAGUUGCUUUGAAGAUUUCAAAAGUUAUCUCCAGGUCAAAACCAUGGUUUUUUAUGUGGAGAGUGAGUGAACAUAAAUGCUUGUGGUCAGUUCUGUGUCAGCCACGAGAACUGGGCAUCUAAAGCAGAUGUGACAGUGCCAACAAAGCAUUUUUAGAAGACUUGAAAGCCAAAUCUCCAGCAUGACCUUCAGGUACCACAGGGCCUUUUGUGCUUGAGGGCAUUUGGCAUGGUCAUGGCAGGUCUGCACGUGUACUGUGCAGGUUAGUUGUAAAACAACUGUGUGUGUGAGCGUCUGUGUCUCUGUGUGUGUCUGGUCUGUGUCUCUGUAUUCAAGAAAGGCUGGAGAAGCUCUUCAGGAAGAUUAACCACCAUUGAUCUUUAGGGGGCUGAUUCUAAUCCUGUGGAAUAUUGCAAAUUAUUAAUAUUCUCUGUGGCCAAUGGGCAUAAAUGUUUGUGAAGAAAGCAGUGAGAGGGAAAAAGAGACAAUGCUUAGGAAUAUAAGAGCAUGUUUUAAAAUUCCAUUUUUCUCUGUCUUUAUGCAACUGCAGGUACAUUGCAAGACAUGGAAGUUGACUCAGUAGAAGAACCUAGGACAUUUUUCUCAACUUCAGUUGGUCCUCAGAUUUCUUUCAAAGCAGAAUAAAAAACUAUUACAAUUUAGAGAAUGCCAGUCCUUUUUACCCAGAUAAGUGAGAGCCUCAGUGUCUGACCGUGAGGAGGAAGGAAAUGUAUGAAGAUGUGCAGAUACUUUAAAUACAGAACAAAAAUAAAAUAAUACAGAAGUGGAUGUU